This 497-nucleotide ribosomal RNA is filed under the name uncultured bacterium. RNAcentral describes it as "partial 16S ribosomal RNA". It matches the Rfam family "Bacterial small subunit ribosomal RNA", at positions 36 to 507 of the family's 1533-position model. The record is from RNAcentral.
UCUUCCCUCUGGCGGCGUGCCUAAUACAUGCAAGUCGAGCGAACAGACGAGGAGCUUGCUCCUCUGACGUUAGCGGCGGACGGGUGAGUAACACGUGUAUAACCUACCUAUAAGACUGGGAUAACUUCGGGAAAUCGGAGCUAAUACCGUAUAAUAUAUUGAACCGCAUGGUUCAAUAGUGAAAGACGGUUUUGCUGUCACUUAUAGAUGGAUCCGCGCCGCAUUAGCUAGUUGGUAAGUUAACGGCUUACCAAGGCAACGAUGCGUAGCCGACCUGAGAGGGUGAUCGGCCACACUGGAACUGAGACGCGGUCCAGACUCCUACGGGAGGCAGCAGUAGCGAAUCUGCCGCAAUGGGCGAAAGCCUGACGGAGCAACGCCGAGUGAGUGAUGAAGGUCUUCGGAUCGUAAAACUCUGUUAUUAGGGAAGAACAAAUGUGUAAGUAACUAUGCACGUCUUGACGGUACCUAAUCAGAAAGCCACGGCUAACUACGUG